This 305-nucleotide long non-coding RNA is filed under the name Vigna radiata. RNAcentral describes it as "long non-coding RNA (VRAD_LNC004300)". Lineage: Eukaryota; Viridiplantae; Streptophyta; Magnoliopsida; Fabales; Fabaceae. The record is from RNAcentral.
UUCAGUGCUGAGGGCCUCCAAAAGGAUGCUCAGGCACCACUUAUAAUUCCUCUUUCUGAUACUUUUCUAGCUCUUCUGAGUUCCAACUCCUUGAUACUUCAACUCUUCUUCCAAAUCAUCCUAAUUCUUGUUAAAACAAGGAAAACCAAGCAUAAAACCAAUAAUUCCACCUUCAACUCUCUAAUUCUCAUAACUAAAGCAAAAUCAUGAUUUUAAGCUAGUUUUUAAGUCAUAAAGGAUGUUUUUAGUAUCAAAAGUAGUAUUUCAACCGUUAUCAUGUGUUCAGCUAAACUAGUGCUCCCCCU